RNAcentral lists this small nucleolar RNA (137 nucleotides) under Dichanthelium oligosanthes. Its description in RNAcentral is "Small nucleolar RNA Z247". It matches the Rfam family "Small nucleolar RNA Z247". Rfam says of the family: Z247 is a member of the C/D class of snoRNA which contain the C (UGAUGA) and D (CUGA) box motifs. Most of the members of the box C/D family function in directing site-specific 2'-O-methylation of substrate RNAs. Lineage: Eukaryota; Viridiplantae; Streptophyta; Magnoliopsida; Poales; Poaceae. The record is from Rfam by way of RNAcentral.
CCUCUUGACGACGAGGAGCUCGUCUGACAUCGUGACUGGCCUCGACAUCGAGUUCAACCCCGUUGUCUCCGCUGUCUUGGCUCGGGCGGAGCCAAUUACUCCCACCGAUCUGUACACGCAGCUGCUUGCUUUUAAGC